This 498-nucleotide long non-coding RNA is filed under the name Salmo salar (Atlantic salmon). Its description in RNAcentral is "lncRNA (ENSSSAG00000081885.1)". Lineage: Eukaryota; Metazoa; Chordata; Actinopteri; Salmoniformes; Salmonidae. The record is from RNAcentral.
CUUUGUCAUUAUGGGGUAUUGUGUGUACAGGCAGCAGGACAGGCAGGUGUACAGACAGCACGUCAGGCAGGUGUACAGGCAGCAGGACAGGCAGGUGUACAGGUGCCAGGACAGGCAGGUGUACAGGCAGCAGGACAGGCAGGUGUACAGGUGCCAGGACAGGCAGGUGUACAGGCAGCAGGACAGGCAGGUGUACAGCCUCAACAACCUGUUAUAUAGACACAUCAUAAGAGCUACAGGACCUCCAUUAAAAUGGUCUUAUUACUCAGAGAAGUGACCAAGACAUUCAAAAGUAAACAUGUAUUUAUGUUUUCAUACACACACACACACACACACACACACACACACACACACACACACACACACACACACACACACACACACACACACACACACACACACACACACACACACACACACACACACAUACAUACAUACAUACAUACGACUACAAAUGACCACAAAUUUAUUACAAAUCACGUCAUUAACAUUUCAAAA